RNAcentral lists this ribosomal RNA (232 nucleotides) under uncultured bacterium. RNAcentral's name for it is "partial 16S ribosomal RNA". It matches the Rfam family "Bacterial small subunit ribosomal RNA", at positions 100 to 334 of the family's 1533-position model. The record is from RNAcentral.
CGGGACGGGUGAAGUAUGUCGGGGAAACUGCCGAUGGAGGGGGAUAACUACUGGAAACGGUAGCUAAUACCGCAUAACGUCGCAAGACCAAAGAGGGGGACCUUAGGGCCUCUUGCCAUCGGAUGUGCCCAGAUGGGAUUAGCUAGUAGGUGGGGUAACGGCUCACCUAGGCGACGAUCCCUAGCUGGUCUGAGAGGAUGACCAGCCACACUGGAACUGAGACACGGUCCAG